Molecule: ribosomal RNA, 395 nt
Filed under: uncultured bacterium
Lineage: Bacteria
Description: bacterial SSU rRNA
Rfam family: Bacterial small subunit ribosomal RNA
Source: RNAcentral
GGGAAUCUUCCACAAUGGGCGAAAGCCUGAUGGAGCAACGCCGCGUGAGCGAUGAAGGCCUUAGGGUUGUAAAGCUCUUUUACCCGGGAUGAUAAUGACAGUACCGGGAGAAUAAGCUCCGGCUAACUCCGUGCCAGCAGCCGCGGUAAUACGGAGGGAGCUAGCGUUAUCCGGAAUUACUGGGCGUAAAGGGUGCGUAGGUGGUUUCUUAAGUCAGAGGUGAAAGGCUACGGCUCAACCGUAGUAAGCCUUUGAAACUGGGAAACUUGAGUGCAGGAGAGGAGAGUGGAAUUCCUAGUGUAGCGGUGAAAUGCGUAGAUAUUAGGAGGAACACCAGUUGCGAAGGCGGCUCUCUGGACUGUAACUGACACUGAGGCACGAAAGCGUGGGGAGCA